AUUUUACCGUUAUUUCAGUGGUUCUAAUUUCACUCAAUUCUCGCCGUUGCACAAUCGAGGGCUGGCUGUUAAUUAUCCUCGAAGAAACAAUGAACAAACUUCCACCAAACGUGAAAAAAAUACGACUGAUAAGAGGAUUCCGUUUCACUCGGUUUCAAAACGAUUCUUUCCGGAUUGCCUCUGCCCUGGGCCGAAUAUUUUCUUCGACAGCCGGUCUCUGAUAUUUCAAGCGCGUCGACGGAAAU
This 245-nucleotide unclassified non-coding RNA is filed under the name Bombus terrestris (buff-tailed bumblebee). RNAcentral's name for it is "misc RNA ENSBTSG00005037913.1". Lineage: Eukaryota; Metazoa; Arthropoda; Insecta; Hymenoptera; Apidae. The record is from RNAcentral.